This is a long non-coding RNA of Ruditapes philippinarum (Manila clam), 333 nucleotides long. RefSeq lists it as uncharacterized. NCBI's taxonomy places the organism in Eukaryota, Metazoa, Mollusca, Bivalvia, Venerida, Veneridae. The record is from RefSeq and is a predicted model, not a curated record. The transcript has 3 exons.
GUUUUGUGUGUUGGAGGAUGGAAAGCGUCAAGUUCCAUGGUCGGAGGAUGAGAAAAAUUAUCUGGAGAGCUUCAUAAACGACAAUAUCAGUGUGGAGAAUGGUGAAUCUGCUAUGCAGUAUUGGAGGAGAUGUGCAGCUGCACUAAAUAACAAAUAUCCUGGGCACAUCAGAAGUGAAGACUCAUGCAAACGUAUGGCCAAGCGUCUAUCUGUCAAUCCCUGCAAACCAGUGUCAUCAACUGUUAAAGAGCUUGAACUGGGAUUCAGUGAACUAAAUUACAUAAAAACAGCCGACAUUGGGACACAAACCGAUUUAUCACUGCCAGUAAAUUG